GUACACUCCUACGGGAGGCAGCAGUGGGGAAUAUUGGACAAUGGGCGCAAGCCUGAUCCAGCCAUGCCGCGUGAGUGAUGAAGGCCCUAGGGUUGUAAAGCUCUUUCACCGGUGAAGAUAAUGACGGUAACCGGAGAAGAAGCCCCGGCUAACUUCGUGCCAGCAGCCGCGGUAAUACGAAGGGGGCUAGCGUUGUUCGGAUUUACUGGGCGUAAAGCGCACGUAGGCGGACUAUUAAGUCAGGGGUGAAAUCCCGGGGCUCAACCCCGGAACUGCCUUUGAUACUGGUAGUCUUGAGUUCGAGAGAGGUGAGUGGAAUUCCGAGUGUAGAGGUGAAAUUCGUAGAUAUUCGGAGGAACACCAGUGGCGAAGGCGGCUCACUGGCUCGAUACUGACGCUGAGGUGCGAAAGCGUGGGGAGCAAACAGGAUUAGAAACCCCUGUAGUCCCAUGAU
This 454-nucleotide ribosomal RNA is filed under the name uncultured organism. Its description in RNAcentral is "partial 16S ribosomal RNA". It matches the Rfam family "Bacterial small subunit ribosomal RNA", at positions 331 to 801 of the family's 1533-position model. The record is from RNAcentral.